CCUGGCCUACGGGGGGCAGCAGUGGGGAAUAUUGCACAAUGGGGGAAACCCUGAUGCAGCGACGCCGCGUGAGCGAUGAAGUAUUUCAGUAUGUAAAGCUCUAUCAGCAGGGAAGAAAAUGACGGUACCUGACUAAGAAGCCCCGGCUAACUACGUGCCAGCAGCCGCGGUAAUACGUAGGGGGCAAGCGUUAUCCGGAUUUACUGGGUGUAAAGGGAGCGUAGACGGAAAGGCAAGUCAGAAGUGAAAACCCAAGGCUCAACCAUGGGACUGCUUUUGAAACUGUCAAACUAGAGUACGGGAGA
RNAcentral lists this ribosomal RNA (305 nucleotides) under uncultured bacterium. RNAcentral describes it as "bacterial SSU rRNA". It matches the Rfam family "Bacterial small subunit ribosomal RNA", at positions 331 to 655 of the family's 1533-position model. The record is from RNAcentral.